Xenopus laevis (African clawed frog) is the source of this 83-nucleotide non-coding RNA. Lineage: Eukaryota; Metazoa; Chordata; Amphibia; Anura; Pipidae. The record is from Rfam.
UGCCAGUGAUGUUCCCUAAAUUCUGACACCUCAUAUGAAACUGUCAAAACAGCUUCUUGAUUUUAUUUUUUGGGCUGAGGCAC